CAAGUAGAUCGCCUUAUCGAACCAAACUUGUUUUGGUUAGGAAAGUCCGAACACCAAAGUGCAACAUAGUGGUUAAUGGCCACCAGUCGUGAGGCUAGGAAAAGUGCAACAGAAAGAAUGUACAGGUAAUGCUGUAGUGAAACCAGGUAAACUCUAUGUGGUGCAAUGUCAUGUAAACCAACGUUUGAGAGCUGCACGCUUGAUGUUGGAGGGUAGGCAGCUAAAGUGUAUUGGUAACAAUGCACUCAGAUAAAUGAUAAGGAUGUUUUGAACUAUUGUUGGGGAGAUCCUGAAAUGAGUUCAGGACAUACAGAAUUCGGCUUAUAGAUUUACUUAAAUA
This 340-nucleotide RNase P RNA is filed under the name Flavobacteriaceae bacterium LYZ1037. Its description in RNAcentral is "Bacterial RNase P class A". It matches the Rfam family "Bacterial RNase P class A". Rfam says of the family: Ribonuclease P (RNase P) is a ubiquitous endoribonuclease, found in archaea, bacteria and eukarya as well as chloroplasts and mitochondria. Its best characterised activity is the generation of mature 5'-ends of tRNAs by cleaving the 5'-leader elements of precursor-tRNAs. Lineage: Bacteria; Pseudomonadati; Bacteroidota; Flavobacteriia; Flavobacteriales; Flavobacteriaceae. The record is from Rfam by way of RNAcentral.